UGCAAGUCGAGCGAAGUUUUUCUGGUGCUUGCACUAGAAAAACUUAGCGGCGAACGGGUGAGUAACACGUAAAGAACCUGCCUCAUAGACUGGGACAACUAUUGGAAACGAUAGCUAAUACCGGAUAACAGCAUUAACUCGCAUGGUUGAUGUUUAAAAGUUGGUUUUGCUAACACUAUGAGAUGGCUUUGCGGUGCAUUAGCUAGUUGGUGGGGUAAAGGCCUACCAAGGCGACGAUGCAUAGCCGACCUGAGAGGGUGAUCGGCCACACUGGGACUGAGACACGGCCCAGACUCCUACGGGAGGCAGCAGUAGGGAAUCUUCCGCAAUGGGCGAAAGCCUGACGGAGCAACGCCGCGUGAGUGAAGAAGGAUUUCGGUUCGUAAAGCUCUGUUGUUAGGGAAGAAUGAUUGUGUAGUAACUAUACACAGUAGAGACGGUACCUAACCAGAAAGCCACGGCUAACUACGUGCCAGCAGCCGCGGUAAUACGUAGGUGGCAAGCGUUGUCCGGAAUUAUUGGGCGUAAAGCGCGCGCAGGUGGUUUAAUAAGUCUGAUGUGAAAGCCCACGGCUCAAUCCGUGGAGGGUCAUUGGAAACUGUUAAACUUGAGUG
This 614-nucleotide ribosomal RNA is filed under the name uncultured Gemella sp. RNAcentral's name for it is "bacterial SSU rRNA". It matches the Rfam family "Bacterial small subunit ribosomal RNA", at positions 56 to 648 of the family's 1533-position model. The record is from RNAcentral. Lineage: Bacteria; Bacillati; Bacillota; Bacilli; Caryophanales; Gemellaceae.